GUUAUGUUCUAUGUAUGUUAAUUAGAAGCGUUCUCUUUUCAGAAAAAUGUAUCGAAGCAUUUUCUCUGGAACCUGAAACUCUUAUAAAGCUGCAAUCGAAAUACGCCAACAGUCGUCUCUACAGCGAAAUGACAAAACACUAGAUAUAUUUACAUUGCUGCUGCAGUAUUUUUUUUCAAUGAUGUAUCUGUGUGUAGCAAACCACAUUUAAGUGUUAAUAUCUUGAAUUCGUUACCAUGUUUAAACAGUAUUGUAGUGGCAUAUAGACACAAAAUCAUAAUAAGCUGUAUAACUUCACUUUUCAUAUAACAUCAAAUGUAGUUGCAUGUAAAAUUACGUUUACAAUAAUGACUGUGCUUCGUAAGCCUAUACGGCUGACUUAGAACUUAACUUUGCAUAACGUUUGUAUAUUAUGUAAUGUCUGUUCAUGUUGCAC
RNAcentral lists this long non-coding RNA (436 nucleotides) under Mytilus galloprovincialis (Mediterranean mussel). Lineage: Eukaryota; Metazoa; Mollusca; Bivalvia; Mytilida; Mytilidae. The record is from RNAcentral.